RNAcentral lists this long non-coding RNA (995 nucleotides) under Homo sapiens (human). RNAcentral's name for it is "HSALNT0339426". Lineage: Eukaryota; Metazoa; Chordata; Mammalia; Primates; Hominidae. The record is from RNAcentral.
CUGGAUUCCAUUCCGUCUUCCUUGAGGGCCCCACCCUCAUCCCGGCACGUGAUGACGUAGGACGUAAGGACGCCCCCCCCCGCCGGUAGCCAUCUUCGUGCAUAGGCAAACUUAUUGUAGCUAGACUGUACAAAGUAUAUCAAGAUAUGCCAAAUAUUGAGCUUAACUUCACCUGUUUGAGAGACGGUGUUUCUUUUAGCUUGCAACACCAUGAAAAAAUUACUGAGACACUAGGAAUGCUGUGAACUGAGAAAGUUUGGGACCUUUGGCAUAACUAAAUCCUUCAUUUAACAGUGUUGUGAACCACUUGUCAUGGGAUAACCAAAAUUAAACCUGGAAUCGCAGAAGAAACAAAUUUUUUGAAGAAAUUGGAUGUACUUUUUUAAAAUUUUUCAUUCAACUAAAACUUUGUUAACUGUUUCUUGGUUGUGGUCUUCUCUAAAUUGUAAUCUUUGGCAUUCACUUCCAAAGUAUCCACCACUAAACUUCAUAACAUUUAUUGUGUCUCUUCAUCAUUAAACUUUGAUGAAUUUACAGAGUGUCUUUUGAAAUUAUGUUCUUGAGAAAGGGGAUUGGACGGUGUCAUGGAAAUGUCAAAGAAAAAGUGACACCUGAGAGAAAAUUUGAAAGAUGAAAGAUGCACUAAAGAGGCCAAUCAGUCAUCCAGACAAGAAUUUACCUCAUGAGAGUCAACUGUGCGCAUCUCUUCCCAACAUUGUGAUUGGUUAUGUCAUGUUGAUAGCUUGAAAUUGGACAUAGUAUGUACAUUUACACCCCAGAAAUCUCAGGUACUACAAACUAAACCUUCCCUUCUCUCAUUCCCCAGUGCUGUUAAUACGGAAACUGGUCUAAUAUGGAAAACAGGUGAACAUGGAGCUGCUUUGUUUGACUCAGGGAUGAGAGAUACCCAGGUCCUAAUUACUUGUCUUUAACUUUCCUUAGGGAGUACUAAUUUGGGAGUCAUUGUUCUAAACAAUUAAAGUGAAGUAACUGUC